UGUGUUUUUCUGGUCACACAUUGAUUUUCUGACCUGAGUCAGCAUGACUGCUGGUGGUACAGGCUGUCCUCUCUGUUCCCGGGGGCCCUAGGUCCCCAGCCAGACUGAAGCAUUUCCAAAACAUUCUCCUGGAACGGUGGGGGCCAAGAGGCGUGGAGACGCCCCACCCCCGGCCCCACCAGUACCAGCUGAAGGACCUACCCAGUCCACCCUCCGUUGUAGACUAACACCCAGCGAGACGACUUCUCGGCACUUCUAAGUAUUCACUCACUGUGGGGCGGGGGCCCUGGGGGGCGUGGGCAGGGCAGAGUGCAGACCCAGAGAAGCAAAAUCUCUUGUAAGAGUCACACAGAGAUGAAGCUGCAGGUGUGAGCUCGUGGGAGCCUUGAGUGUCAGAUCUGGCAACGCUCUGGAGAUUCCCGAAGUCCCUCAGUCCUCACAACAACCCGCUGGGUAGGUUUGUUCAACAUUCUGGCUGCAGUGAGAUGGAGGAUUCUUCCAGACAAUCCUGGGAUGUAAACUUAGAACUCGGUCAUGCGGCAGGCACACAAUCCCCGGCUCAGGCUCUGCUUCCAAGGAACUGACUAAAGACACCGCUGGGCCCUAGGAGAUGCUUUUCUGACUACACUCUUUUGCUAGUUCUGAGCCAGGUACUCAUUAACAAGACUUCUGGACCCCAAAUCAGACUGUCUUAGCUUCACAUCUCAUCACAUCAAAUCUCACUGCUGUGAGCCCCUGGCUAACAACUGGUUAUGACACUUCUCAUCUGUCAAAUGGAAGAAAAACAACCCCCACCCUCUGCCACCACUGCUAGGACUUUGGCAGAAUCAGAGAUAUGCAAGGACCUAGCAUGGUGCCUGGCUCCAUCUGUGGUGCUAGUGUCCUUCCUCCAGGCUAACAGCACCCACUCUACACACAGGAAGCCACUUUCUUCAUCUGCUUGAAGAUGCUGCAUCCUGGGGAAAGUCCCCAGAGCACCGGAUGACUGGGAUUCAAUUGUAGCAAAAUAGCUGCCACCUAUGAAACUCCUAUGACAUGCCAGUCCCUACACAUAUGUGCUGGUUCACUGUGUCUUCCCAGCUGGUUGAAGCUCAUGUGAGUAUCUCCUCUAUGUGACCACAGAAACUGAGAAAGCCAAGAUACCAUCUCUGGGGUCCACAGGUUAAAAAAUCAUGUGUCUAGAGCCUCUCUGGUGUCUCAAGGUGUGAAGUCUCAGCACUAGGAAGCUAUCCGCAGCCACUACAUCAUGCGUUCAAUCCCUGGCUAGGGAGCUACCCACAGGGUGCAGCAGACCUCUCCUGACUUGCCUGCUGCUCCCCUCAGCAGUGUAUUUCAGUCAAUCCAUCCACCUGUUCUGCUCCCCACUCUGUCUCUGAUGAAUCCUCUCACCUACCUACCCCCUGCUACACCCCAGCUCUU
Molecule: long non-coding RNA, 1419 nt
Organism: Talpa occidentalis (Iberian mole)
Lineage: Eukaryota; Metazoa; Chordata; Mammalia; Eulipotyphla; Talpidae
Exons: 3
Source: RefSeq, a predicted model, not a curated record